CUCUUACCGAAGAUUACGCUAGAAUGACAGGUAAACCGUACGAAAAAGUAUUACAAGAUAUGG
This 63-nucleotide transfer RNA is filed under the name Cryptomonas paramaecium. RNAcentral describes it as "Cryptomonas paramecium tRNA". Lineage: Eukaryota; Cryptophyceae; Cryptomonadales; Cryptomonadaceae. The record is from RNAcentral.